CUGGUGCUGCAGGUGGUGCUGCAGCUGCAUUGCUAACAGGAAAAACAGAACAACACAAUGACUUGACAGGUUUUGGACUAAAUGAACUGUUUCCAUUUGUAAUUCAGAGUCAUAACUUCUGUAUCCAGGACAGAAAAUGAAUCUGAAACAUCUCUGCAGUGGAAACUCGGACCUCAGCAUCCAGAGCAGCCGCAGUGUGUGAAGAGAGGUCAGAGGUCACUAGGCCCCUCAGACGCCUUCAGGACAACAUGCAGCAUCACGUCCAGGAAGCUGCGCAGCAAAACCUCAACACUCMUUAAAUAUUAAAGCGGUAAGUUCAUCUCUGACGUUGUGCCAAUAAUUAAUGAGCUUCUGGGUCUGGAGGCCCUUCAGAGGAAACUUUAGUUUUUCUGUGAAAUAUCGUCUUUUUGUUUCUUUGUUCUGUUUCUGCAGACGAUCCGUCUCCAGUUUCUGGAAAGUUUCUCUAGAAAAAGUUUAAAACUGCACAUCUGCUGCAGCUGCAAACAUUGUUUUAGAAAAGUGCAUGACUUUUAGAGAAAGUGACGCGUCAGCGCUGCCGUGGCUCAUGUUUCAAACUUUAUUCUGUAAAGAAGACAAAACAGAAUUUCAUUAGAUUUUUGGGCCAUAAAAUACCAACUAAUUGGGUUAAAAGCAAUAAAAACUGGGAUAAAAACAUUUAAAAAAUGAAUAACUACAAUAAAUUAAAUAUAGUUUCAUAUUAUAUACAAAUUAAUCCAUAAAAGAAUAAAGUAGGAUAUUUAUUUAAUGUCAGAAUGUUAUUAUUGUUCAUGGGAUCCAGACUUCAGAUCAUUUCUGUUUUUGCUUUUUUUAGUUAUUUUUUUUGUAAAUAUUUUUAUUGUCUUCUAAUAAAACUUUGACUUCUCUCCUGUUUUCUAAAAGAUGCAUAUUUUUACAGUGUACUGUCCUACACUGUACAAUUUCAUUAAUUUCAUUAAAUCUAACAGGAGUUUGCAUUAACAGAUUCCAGCUAAUCUAUACAUUUCAUUGAUCUGCUUUGCUCCACAGGAAGCUGCAGAAACGUUUGAAGGAUUUGGACAUUUUAAACGUUGCUGACAUAAAGCAGCAGCUGCAGGAAGGAGAAGCGCAGGUUUCCAUGGAUGACUUGCAUUUCUCCGGUUUGUCAACAGAGCGGAGCAGAGGUGUAAUUACGGGCUGCCGCUCCAUCAGGUAACAAACACUGAGGCGGUUCUGAUCAGCUGGAGGCCUCUCUGGUUUCUCUGGGCUUUAUUGUUCAUGGAGAUGUUUUUGGAUCUGCAGGGAUGAAUAAUUGCCACUAAUCCCAGCAGCGUUGUGUUUCWGAGCUGAAGGAUUCCAGAAUGAGCCGUCCAGAUUCAGAGGGCCGGCCCGGCAUGUUGUGAAAGAAACAAAAAUGCUCUCUGGCCUGUUUCACUUCUCCCACUGGCACAAACAAAGGAGGGGGCGGAGCCUCACAUUCCCAUCGCUGCAUCUGCAGGAUGAGAGUUCAGUUUAACUUCAUGCAUCCAAAAACAUUUCAUUUUUAAUGUCUUGCGUUUUGUAAACUUCUUUAUUUGCUGCAGAAGAAACAAUGAAGAACUGAAAAGUGCGUCUACGUGAUUCAGGUCCCGAUCAGASCGCAGAAGAACCUGUUCUGACCUGAAGGGCCUCAGGGAGGUCAGAGGCUCCAGGUUCACAGGGAAAACAUGCAGAAAGUUCAGAUUGAAACUUUACAGCAGAGUCGGAGUGAACAGGCCGUUUCAGUUCAUUACGUGAUCUCAGGCUGUUCACAGACAGAGAUGAUCAAUAUUUASACAAGGUGGAUCUGCAGAGCGACACCUGAAACCUGGACUCAAACAGAAGAGUACCGUGUACCUAAUAAAGUGGCCACUGGCGGUGAAUCUCCAGGA
This is a non-coding RNA of Poecilia reticulata (guppy), 1886 nucleotides long. NCBI's taxonomy places the organism in Eukaryota, Metazoa, Chordata, Actinopteri, Cyprinodontiformes, Poeciliidae. The record is from RefSeq and is a predicted model, not a curated record.